RNAcentral lists this small RNA (29 nucleotides) under Bombyx mori (domestic silkworm). RNAcentral's name for it is "piRNA piR-bmo-1680667". Lineage: Eukaryota; Metazoa; Arthropoda; Insecta; Lepidoptera; Bombycidae. The record is from RNAcentral.
UCAAAUGGAAGAAGCUGGUAUUUGGGAGC